UAAUCAGUUUCCACCUUCCAGAGAUCACCCACGGCCCCAAGCUCCAGAAGGCAGAAACCACCCAAGCACAGUUCACCACCCAGUCACACACAGCCAUCAGCCUCUUCGCAGUCGCAUACCCACCAGCCCACCACCACCAAACGAGCAGCCACAGCAGCGACGAUGUUGACCACCGCAACCACCACCGUCGUUGCCGAGCUCGCCUCCUCCUUGGUCGUCGCCGAGCUCGCCUACUCGUUGGUCGUCGCCGACACCGCGUCCUCGCCGUUACUCGCCUCCUCCUAAUCUACUAAUCCGGGAAGCCUGCCCCCAAGCCUAGCCUCCACCACCGCCUUGUGCCUCUAUUGCCGCUGCGCCAUUCGUCGCACCGACCCCUGUUCGCUCUCAGACUCACCAGUCGCAGGCACGCUGUUUCUUCCUCGAGCGUCCGUCGUCUUCCUCUUCCCCUGGAGCUGCUGCAUGCCUGCAUACAAAGGAUUUCUUGAUUCUUGAAGGUCAUGAGGAAGCUCAAGAAGAGUUGCCUAAGAAAGCAAAAAUCUUCUUUAGUACUGCAGUUCAGAACUGGGAUGCUGACUUUUAUGUGAAAGUUGAUGACAGUAUUGACAUUGAUCUGGAGGGAUUAAUUGACCUUCUUAACCGCCGCCGCGGUCAGGAUGGGGCAUAUAUUGGAUGCAUGAAAUCUGGAGAAGUGAUAUCAGAAGAGGGCAAGGCAUGGUAUGAGCCUGAAUGGUGGAAAUUUGGGGAUGAAAAGUCGUAAGUGAUAUAACUUUCUAUGGAAGUUUUUGUUUAUUAAAGGAGAGAUUUAAGUAGCAAUGGUUACCUUACUGCAAUUACCUUGUCAUACCUUGUCAUUUAUGUGCGUUUUGAAUAUUGUCAUUUGAAGUUGUUUAUGACCUUUUAAUGAUAAAUUAUGUAUUGUAGAUUUUGUGAAAUUGUUAAAUUUUGAAUUUUAUUAAUUUCAAAAUUAUUGAAUUUAACUUUUUAAAAUUAUGUAUUCAAUUUUUUAUAAUUUCACUCUAUAUAUUAAACCGGUUCAACCACGGUUCAACCACGGUUGAACCAUUGAACCAUUGAACCAGUUACUUGACCGGUUUGAUGACCG
Arachis ipaensis is the source of this 1102-nucleotide non-coding RNA. The record is from RefSeq and is a predicted model, not a curated record. NCBI's taxonomy places the organism in Eukaryota, Viridiplantae, Streptophyta, Magnoliopsida, Fabales, Fabaceae.